RNAcentral lists this ribosomal RNA (408 nucleotides) under Sugiyamaella sp. BG090815.8.6.1.1.10. Its description in RNAcentral is "eukaryotic LSU rRNA". It matches the Rfam family "Eukaryotic large subunit ribosomal RNA", at positions 129 to 542 of the family's 3401-position model. The record is from RNAcentral. Lineage: Eukaryota; Fungi; Ascomycota; Dipodascomycetes; Dipodascales; Trichomonascaceae.
GACGCAAGUCCGAGUUGUAAUUUGAAGAAGGUAAUUUUUGGGGAGAUGUGAACAAAAGUUCCUUGGAACAGGACGUCAUAGAGGGUGAGAAUCCCGUUUUGUUUACCUCUCUCUCCUUGUAAAAUGCUUUCGAAGAGUCGAGUUGUUUGGGAAUGCAGCUCUAAGUGGGUGGUAAAUUCCAUCUAAAGCUAAAUAUUGGCGAGAGACCGAUAGCGAACAAGUACAGUGAUGGAAAGAUGAAAAGAACUUUGAAAAGAGAGUGAAAAAGUACGUGAAAUUGUUGAAAGGGAAGGGUUUUAAGGGAGACUUGGGAGGUAACGAACAAUUUUCUUUCGGGAAGGCGCACUCGUUGCUUUCUAGGCCAAUAUGGAUUUGAAGAGUGGGAUAAAAGGAUAGGAAUGUAGCCAC